RNAcentral lists this ribosomal RNA (200 nucleotides) under uncultured bacterium. RNAcentral's name for it is "partial 16S ribosomal RNA". It matches the Rfam family "Bacterial small subunit ribosomal RNA", at positions 29 to 224 of the family's 1533-position model. The record is from RNAcentral.
AGUGAACGCUGGCGGCAGGCCUAACACAUGCAAGUCGAACGGCAGCACAGAGGAGCUUGCUCCUUGGGUGGCGAGUGGCGGACGGGUGAGGAAUACGUCGGAAUCUGCCUAUUUGUGGGGGAUAACGUAGGGAAACUUACGCUAAUACCGCAUACGACCUACGGGUGAAAGCGGAGGACCUUCGGGCUUCGCGCAGAUAG